UUUCCGUAGGUGAACCUGCGGAAGGAUCAUUAAUGAGUUGUCAUGGGGUUCGAUGCUGGCAGCCAAUUUUUGGAUGCAUGUGCUUGCCCUAACAAUCAUCUUCCAAACACCUGUGCACAUUUUUGAGGGAGUCUUGAGUUGGUUGCCGCUCUUGGGUGAUUUUCUCACAUUCCCCUAAAUCAUUAUACGCUAUUAACAAUGUUGAACGUGCUCUGUGCCGCAAGGCUAUUAAUAUAAUACAACUUUUAACAACGGAUCUCUUGGCUCUC
This 269-nucleotide unclassified non-coding RNA is filed under the name plant metagenome. RNAcentral describes it as "partial contains small subunit ribosomal RNA, internal transcribed spacer 1, and 5.8S ribosomal RNA". The record is from RNAcentral.